UGAACGCUAGCGGCAGGCUUAACACAUGCAAGCGAGGGGCGAGCGCGAGUAGCAAUACUUGGCGGCGACCGGCGCAAGGGUGCGUAACGCGUGAGCAACAUGCCCGUAUCAGGGGGAUAAUCCAGGGAAACUUGGUCUAAUACCCCAUAGUAAUUUUGUAAGGCAUCUUAUAAGAUUUAAAGCUUUGGUGGAUACGGAUUGGCUCGCGUGACAUUAGCUGGAUGGUAAGGUAACGGCUUACCAUGGCUAUGAUGUCUAGGGGUUCUGAGAGGAAGGUCCCCCACACUGGAACUGAGACACGGUCCAGACUCCUACGGGAGGCAGCAGUGAGGAAUAUUGGACAAUGGAUGGAAAUCUGAUCCAGCCAUGCCGCGUGAAAGGAAGAAGGUCCUAUGGAUUGUAAACUUCUUUUGUAUGGGAGCAAUAAGGCCUACGAGUAGGUUGAUGAGAGUACCAUACGAAUAAGCACCGGCUAACUCCGUGCCAGCAGCUGC
Molecule: ribosomal RNA, 494 nt
Filed under: uncultured bacterium
Lineage: Bacteria
Description: bacterial SSU rRNA
Rfam family: Bacterial small subunit ribosomal RNA
Source: RNAcentral